This 230-nucleotide long non-coding RNA is filed under the name Populus trichocarpa (black cottonwood). RNAcentral's name for it is "long non-coding RNA (PTRI_LNC000171)". Lineage: Eukaryota; Viridiplantae; Streptophyta; Magnoliopsida; Malpighiales; Salicaceae. The record is from RNAcentral.
CCGGUAGCUCCAAGCUGCAACUCCAGUUUGGUGCUGUUUCUAGGCUUAGAUCUUCCUCUUUAAAAGAAGUUGCUCCGUCGUGUCGUGGCUGAUUGCCUAUCCUCCUCCGCUGUUGUCGCCACCUCUCACCAUGGAACUUCCUCUGUCACCUCGACUGAUGCUACGGCUAGGAUUUUCUGUUUUCUUUUUCUUUUUCUUUAUUAUAUUUUUUUCCUUUCCUUAUACGAGAC